GAUGAACGCUAGCGGCAGGCCUAAUACAUGCAAGUCGGACGGGAUCCAUUGAUAGCUUGCUAUCAAUGGUGAGAGUGGCGCACGGGUGCGUAACGCGUGAGCAACCUGCCUCCAUCAGGGGGAUAGCCUCUCGAAAGAGAGAUUAACACCGCAUAAUAUCAACAGUUCGCAUGUUCAGUUGAUUAAAUAUUUAUAGGAUGGAGAUGGGCUCGCGUGACAUUAGCUAGUUGGUAGGGUAACGGCUUACCAAGGCGACGAUGUCUAGGGGCUCUGAGAGGAGAAUCCCCCACACUGGUAGUGAGACACGGACCAGACUCCUACGGGAGGCAGCAGUAAGGAAUAUUGGUCAAUGGGCGGAAGCCUGAACCAGCCAUGCCGCGUGCAGGAUGACUGCCCUAUGGGUUGUAAACUGCUUUUGUCCAGGAAUAAACCUAAAUACGAGUAUUUAGCUGAAUGUACUGGAAGAAUAAGGAUCGGCUAACUCCGUG
This 488-nucleotide ribosomal RNA is filed under the name uncultured bacterium. RNAcentral's name for it is "partial 16S ribosomal RNA". It matches the Rfam family "Bacterial small subunit ribosomal RNA", at positions 28 to 507 of the family's 1533-position model. The record is from RNAcentral.